GGGGUCGGGCCUGGGUCCGACGGUAGUGGGUAGCGGGUCUCGGGUUGCGGGUUGCAGGUUGCAAGCCGCAGGCCCCAGGCAACUGCCUUCCCGGCGCCAUGUUCGGCUCCAGUCGUGGAGGCGUGCGCGGCGGGCAGGACCAGUUCAACUGGGAGGACGUGAAGACUGACAAGCAGCGGGAGAACUACCUGGGCAACUCGCUGAUGGCGCCGGUAGGCCGCUGGCAGAAGGGCCGCGACCUCACCUGGUACGCCAAGGGCCGGGCGCCAUGCGCGGGCCCGAGCCGCGAGGAGGAACUGGCAGCCGUGCGGGAGGCGGAGCGCGAGGCGCUGCUGGCCGCCCUUGGCUACAAGAACGUGAAGAAGCAGCCCACGGGCCUGAGCAAGGAGGACUUCGCGGAGGUCUGCAAGCGGGAAGGAGGCGACCCCGAGGAGAAGGGCGUGGACCGGCUGCUGGGGCUGGGGAGCGCAAGUGGCUCCGUGGGCCGCGUGGCGAUGUCCCGAGAGGACAAGGAGGCCGCCAAACUGGGGCUGUCUGUGUUCACGCAUCACCGCGUAGAGAGCGGCGGGCCCGGGACCUCGGCAGCCUCGGCCAGGAGGAAGCCGCGGGCGGAGGAUCAGACGGAAAGCAGGGGAGUUUCUCGGGUCACCCUUGAAGAGAGGUCCUAAGUACUGGCAGUGGUCGGGCGCUGUGCCGUGGGAGGGCACUCAGGACCUGGGGCGGGGCCUUUUCCUGCCGUGGGUGGCACCUCCAGGGCUUCUCCUGGAUGGUGAGCCUGGGCCUGACCCUAAGAGUGGCCUGGUGGGUGCAGUUGUGAGAGCCACAGGAAAAGCAAGAAGGAGAAGAAGAAAAAGAAAAAGAGGAAACACAAGAAAGAGAAGAAGAAGAAAGACAAAGAGCACAGGCGGCCAGCUGAGGCCACCUCCUCUCCCACAUCUCCUGAGAGGCCCAGGCACCACCACCAUGACUCCGACUCCAACUCCCCCUGCUGUAAGAGGAGGAAGCGGGGACACAGUGGGGACAGGAGGAGCCCGUCUCGCAGGUGGCAUGACAGAGGCUCUGAGGCCUGAUGGCUGGACCCUGCUCACUGCUGUUGUGGGACCCUGAACCCUCCCUUCACCUUGCUUGCCUCCUGCCUCGGAAGCUCCUUGGGUGUGGGUGAAGCCCGAGGCUGCUCCUGUGGAAGUGGCUCUGGGCACCAGCCUGUGGGGCUAAAGACUUGACAGCUAGCUCUGGAGCAGCCGGCUUCCUGGAAAACCUCCAGGUUUCGCAUACCAGGGAUGGCCCCUGGCUUGGCCUGCGAAGGUGAACCUGCCCAGAUUUAUCAGUAGAGGCUGGACUCCCUCUGUGUCCUGCCCAUGGUUGCAGCAGCCAUGGGCCUAUGAGCGGUCUAACUGUGGCCAAGUAUGGUGACCUCUAUUUUUCUUUAUAUUGACUCUUUGUAUUUCAAUAAAUAUAUUUUAAAAGGAA
This is an RNA transcript of Homo sapiens (human), 1470 nucleotides long. It is a transcript of the gene named chromosome 1 open reading frame 35, with no coding region annotated. Lineage: Eukaryota; Metazoa; Chordata; Mammalia; Primates; Hominidae. The record is from RefSeq and is marked validated. The transcript has 9 exons.